UUCCAGAUAAAUAUCCUCGCAUUUGUUUAUUGCAUUACGACCUUUCUCGGUGAUAUCAGUUGGAUCUCCAAGUCCUAGACCAAUGAGAUAAUUUACUUCCAUUGGAUGGAGAUGCUUCUGAGAGAUAACCAGGCAAUGAAGAGGCGGUCCAAGAUCUACAGAAGACAUUUCUUUCAAAGUACAGGCAAUUAUUUGCUGGUCAUCGGAUCCAAUUCGUGCUAAACCAACAGCUAAGCUAACUGUCUCCUGUCAAAACUAAAAAUAAAAAAAACGCCAUUCGGCCACACCCGAAAUGGAAGAGCAUUAAAUACCUGUUCAAUAUGAUAAUUAUCGAAAUCUGGUAUCGUCAUCCUAACACAAAUAUCUCUGAGACUCCACGUUCUGUAAUAAAAUGACAUAAAAGAUAAAUAAAAUAAAUAAAAAU
This 424-nucleotide long non-coding RNA is filed under the name Cotesia glomerata. RNAcentral's name for it is "uncharacterized LOC123275116, transcript variant X1". The record is from RNAcentral. Lineage: Eukaryota; Metazoa; Arthropoda; Insecta; Hymenoptera; Braconidae.